CGCGUAGGCGGCCUUGUAAGUUGGGGGUGAAAGCCCGUGGCUCAACCACGGAAUUGCCUUCGAUACUGCUUGGCUUGAGUGUGGUAGAGGUUGGUGGAACUGCGAGUGUAGAGGUGAAAUUCGUAGAUAUUCGCAAGAACACCGGUGGCGAAGGCGGCCAACUGGACCAUCACUGACGCUGAGGCGCGAAAGCGUGGGGAGCAAACAGGAUUAGAUACCCCCGUA
This 225-nucleotide ribosomal RNA is filed under the name uncultured Methylobacterium sp. Its description in RNAcentral is "partial 16S ribosomal RNA". It matches the Rfam family "Bacterial small subunit ribosomal RNA", at positions 568 to 792 of the family's 1533-position model. Lineage: Bacteria; Pseudomonadati; Pseudomonadota; Alphaproteobacteria; Hyphomicrobiales; Methylobacteriaceae. The record is from RNAcentral.